UUGCCCUACGGGGCGCAGCAGUCGGGAAUAUUGCGCAAUGGAGGAAACUCUGACGCAGUGACGCCGCGUAUAGGAAGAAGGUUUUCGGAUUGUAAACUAUUGUCGUUAGGGAAGAUAAGAGACUGUACCUAAGGAGGAAGCCCCGGCUAACUAUGUGCCAGCAGCCGCGGUAAUACAUAGGGGGCAAGCGUUAUCCGGAAUUAUUGGGUGUAAAGGGUGCGUAGACGGAGAAACAAGUUGGUUGUGAAAUCCCUCGGUUCAACUGAGGAACUGCAACCAAGACUAUUUCCCUGGAGCGUCGGAGA
This 305-nucleotide ribosomal RNA is filed under the name uncultured bacterium. RNAcentral describes it as "bacterial SSU rRNA". It matches the Rfam family "Bacterial small subunit ribosomal RNA", at positions 334 to 655 of the family's 1533-position model. The record is from RNAcentral.